Molecule: ribosomal RNA, 327 nt
Filed under: uncultured eukaryote
Lineage: Eukaryota
Description: partial 18S ribosomal RNA
Rfam family: Eukaryotic small subunit ribosomal RNA
Source: RNAcentral
CCCUUAGAUGUUCUGGGCCGCACGCGCGCUGCACUGACGAAUGCAACGAGCUUAUAACCUUGGCCGAAAGGUCUGGGUAAUCUCCAAAUUUCGUCGUGAUGGGGAUAGAUUAUUGCAAUUAUUAAUCUUCAACGAGGAAUGCCUAGUAAGCGCAAGUCAUCAGCUUGCGUUGAUUACGUCCCUGCCCUUUGUACACACCGCCCGUCGCUCCUACCGAUUGAAUGGUCCGGUGAAGCGUUCGGACCGUGGCCUUUGGACGGUUCGCCGUCUGUUGGCUGCGGGAAGUUCGUUAAACCUUAUCAUUUAGAGGAAGGAGAAGUCGUAACA